CAGAUGAGAAGCUUGCUUCUCUGAUGUUAGCGGCGGACGGGUGAGUAACACGUGGGUAACCUACCUAUAAGACUGGGAUAACUCCGGGAAACCGGGGCUAAUACCGGAUAAUAUUUUGAACCGCAUGGUUCAAUAGUGAAAGACGGUUUCGGCUGUCACUUAUAGAUGGACCCGCGCCGUAUUAGCUAGUUGGUAAGGUAACGGCUUACCAAGGCGACGAUACGUAGCCGACCUGAGAGGGUGAUCGGCCACACUGGAACUGAGACACGGUCCAGACUCCUACGGGAGGCAGCAGUAGGGAAUCUUCCGCAAUGGGCGAAAGCCUGACGGAGCAACGCCGCGUGAGUGAUGAAGGUCUUCGGAUCGUAAAACUCUGUUGUUAGGGAAGAACAAAUUUGUUAGUAACUGAACAAGUCUUGACGGUACCUAACCAGAAAGCCACGGCUAACUACGUGCCAGCAGCCGCGGUAAUACGUAGGUGGCAAGCGUUAUCCGGAAUUAUUGGGCGUAAAGCGCGCGUAGGCGGUUUCUUAAGUCUGAUGUGAAAGCCCACGGCUCAACCGUGGAGGGUCAUUGGAAACUGGGAAACUUGAGUGCAGAAGAGGAGAGUGGAAUUCCAUGUGUAGCGGUGAAAUGCGCAGAGAUAUGGAGGAACACCAGUGGCGAAGGCGGCUCUCUGGUCUGUAACUGACGCUGAUGUGCGAAAGCGUGGGGAUCAAACAGGAUUAGAUACCCUGGUAGUCCACGCCGUAAACGAUGAGUGCUAAGUGUUAGGGGGUUUCCGCCCCUUAGUGCUGCAGCUAACGCAUUAAGCACUCCGCCUGGGGAGUACGACCGCAAGGUUGAAACUCAAAGGAAUUGACGGGGACCCGCACAAGCGGUGGAGCAUGUGGUUUAAUUCGAAGCAACGCGAAGAACCUUACCAAAUCUUGACAUCCUUUGACCGCUCUAGAGAUAGAGUCUUCCCCUUCGGGGGACAAAGUGACAGGUGGUGCAUGGUUGUCGUCAGCUCGUGUCGUGAGAUGUUGGGUUAAGUCCCGCAACGAGCGCAACCCUUAAGCUUAGUUGCCAUCAUUAAGUUGGGCACUCUAGGUUGACUGCCGGUGACAAACCGGAGGAAGGUGGGGAUGACGUCAAAUCAUCAUGCCCCUUAUGAUUUGGGCUACACACGUGCUACAAUGGAUAAUACAAAGGGCAGCGAAUCCGCGAGGCCAAGCAAAUCCCAUAAAAUUAUUCUCAGUUCGGAUUGUAGUCUGCAACUCGACUACAUGAAGCUGGAAUCGCUAGUAAUCGUAGAUCAGCAUGCUACGGUGAAUACGUUCCCGGGUCUUGUACACACCGCCCGUCACACCACGAGAGUUUGUAACACCCGAAGCCGGUGGAGUAA
RNAcentral lists this ribosomal RNA (1387 nucleotides) under Mammaliicoccus sciuri. RNAcentral describes it as "bacterial SSU rRNA". It matches the Rfam family "Bacterial small subunit ribosomal RNA", at positions 70 to 1438 of the family's 1533-position model. Lineage: Bacteria; Bacillati; Bacillota; Bacilli; Caryophanales; Staphylococcaceae. The record is from RNAcentral.